GCCCUUAAAUUCUUUUGUGAUCCAAUCUAACAGCACCCGCCGGCUGAGGCUGCAGACCACAAUGGAGAUGUCCUUCCACUACUUCUGAGAUUCAGCCAUCUCCUCCUCAAAAAACUCAAGGAACUUCAUGAAGUACUUCUAUAGUUGCUCCAACUCCAUCGGUGAGAUCUUGUGCUCCAUCCAAUGGGGCUGCCGUGGUGGCCUCUCC
RNAcentral lists this long non-coding RNA (208 nucleotides) under Elaeis guineensis (African oil palm). Its description in RNAcentral is "long non-coding RNA (EGUI_LNC045571)". Lineage: Eukaryota; Viridiplantae; Streptophyta; Magnoliopsida; Arecales; Arecaceae. The record is from RNAcentral.